AAUAGGGCUGGACUUCCUGCCAGCCAGGGGAGGCAGAGUUAGAAGAUGAAGUAGGGGAUUCAGCCACCAGAGAGGUACAAGAGACGUCAGGACAGAGGAGCUGGAGGAGAAAAGCUGCAAAGUGCAAGUAUCUCUGGGAUGUGCCUGAGAGGAAACCAGAUUAGCUUAGAGGGGAAGAAGAAUUCUAAAACCCAAGAGAACGACCUCUCCCAAAUGUUUGGAAACAGUUUCUGACCUAUCUACUCAGAAACUCUGAGGGCUGAGAAUUUGGAAAUGCAGCAGAAUGAAGAGAAGUGAAGCCCAUGAUUUCAGCCGGAUUUAGAUAACGGACCCCAAAGUUGCUCAGAGUCGGGCUGCAUGGAGGCUCAGGUGGACACAGGAA
Molecule: long non-coding RNA, 382 nt
Organism: Psammomys obesus (fat sand rat)
Lineage: Eukaryota; Metazoa; Chordata; Mammalia; Rodentia; Muridae
Exons: 3
Source: RefSeq, a predicted model, not a curated record